GAUGAAGAACGUAGCGAAAUGCGAUAAGUAGUGUGAAUUGCAGAAUUCAGUGAAUCAUCGAAUCUUUGAACGCACAUUGCGCCCCUUGGUAUCCCGAGGGGCAUGCCUGUUCGAGCGUCAUUUCACCACUCAAGCCUGGCUUGGUGUUGGGCGACGUCCCCUUUGGGGACGCGCCUCGAAACGCUCGGCGGCGUGGCACCGGCUUUAAGCGUAGCAGAAUCUUUCGCUUUGGAAGUCGGGGCCCCGUCUGCCGGAAGACCUACUCGCAAGGUUGACCUCGGAUCAGGCAGGGAUACCCGCUGAACUUAAGCAUAUCAGUAAGCGGAGGA
Molecule: unclassified non-coding RNA, 329 nt
Filed under: soil metagenome
Description: partial contains 5.8S ribosomal RNA, internal transcribed spacer 2, and large subunit ribosomal RNA
Rfam family: 5.8S ribosomal RNA (bases 1-120)
Source: RNAcentral